CCUACGGGUGGCAGCAGUAGGGAAUCUUCCACAAUGGGCGAAAGCCUGAUGGAGCAACGCCGCGUGGGUGAAGAAGGUCUUCGGAUCGUAAAACCCUGUUGUUAGAGAAGAAAGUGCGUGAGAGUAACUGUUCACGUUUCGACGGUAUCUAACCAGAAAGCCACGGCUAACUACGUGCCAGCAGCCGCGGUAAUACGUAGGUGGCAAGCGUUAUCCGGAUUUAUUGGGCGUAAAGGGAACGCAGGCGGUCUGUUAAGUCUGAUGUAAAAGCCUUCGGCUUAACCGGAGUAGUGCAUUGGAAACUGGGAGACGUGAGUGCAGAAGAGGAGAGUGGAACUCCAGGUGUAGCGGUGAAAUGCGUAGAUAUAUGGAAGAACACCAGUGGCGAAAGCGGCUCUCUGGUCUGUAACUGACGCUGAGGUUCGAAAGCGUGGGUAGCAAACAGGAUUAGAUACCCCGGUAGUC
This 465-nucleotide ribosomal RNA is filed under the name uncultured bacterium. RNAcentral's name for it is "partial 16S ribosomal RNA". It matches the Rfam family "Bacterial small subunit ribosomal RNA", at positions 338 to 795 of the family's 1533-position model. The record is from RNAcentral.